GGGGGUGCACCGGCUUCGACUGGUGCGAUUCGGGGUAUAGGCUGCAGGUAGAGCGCCCAUCUCUUGAUUGGGCAAAACAAUUAACUGCCAAUAACGUCAGUUACGAUUACGCCUUAGCUGCGUAACCGCGUGGAACCGUUCCGCCGCCCUGAGGGACGGCUUCCGCGUCGCAAUCAGGGCUGGCCAUGCCGCCGUUUCCGGAGACGGUAUGGUAAGAUUACCGGAAUAAGGACGGGCCGCGCGCCGUUUAGCCAAGCCCGCCCCGACAAUUCAAUAAACAGCUAAACUUGUAGAAGCUUAUAUUUCGCGCAUUAGGACGGGGGUUCGACUCCCCCCACCUCCAG
This 344-nucleotide transfer-messenger RNA is filed under the name Treponema sp. It matches the Rfam family "transfer-messenger RNA". Rfam says of the family: Bacterial tmRNA, also known as 10Sa RNA or SsrA, is named for its dual tRNA and mRNA-like properties. Its role is to liberate the mRNA from a stalled ribosome. The record is from RNAcentral. Lineage: Bacteria; Pseudomonadati; Spirochaetota; Spirochaetia; Treponematales; Treponemataceae.